UCCGGUUUAACACCGGCGGUCUCCCCAGAGUGCCCAACUUAAUGGUGGCAACUAAGGAUAGGGGUUGCGCUCGUUGCGGGACUUAACCCAACAUUUCACAACACGAGCUGACGACAGCCAUGCAGCACCUGUCUCUACGUCCCUUGCGGGACUACUACAUCUCUGCAGUAUUCGUAGGAUGUCAAACCCAGGUAAGGUUCUGCGCGUUGCUUCGAAUUAAACCACAUACUCCACCGCUUGUGCGGGCCCCCGUCAAUUCCUUUGAGUUUCAGCCUUGCGGCCGUACUCCCCAGGCGGGAUACUUAAUGCGUGAGCUUUGAUACUCGGAGGGUUAAUUCUCCAAACAUCUAGUAUCCAUCGUUUAUGGUGCGGACUAC
Molecule: unclassified non-coding RNA, 377 nt
Filed under: uncultured Oligoflexaceae bacterium
Lineage: Bacteria; Pseudomonadati; Bdellovibrionota; Oligoflexia; Oligoflexales; Oligoflexaceae
Description: contains 16S-23S intergenic spacer region
Source: RNAcentral